GAUGAACGCUGGCGGCGUGCCUAAUACAUGCAAGUCGAGCGAAUGGAUUAAGAGCUUGCUCUUAUGAAGUUAGCGGCGGACGGGUGAGUAACACGUGGGUAACCUGCCCAUAAGACUGGGAUAACUCCGGGAAACCGGGGCUCAUACCGGAUAACAUUUUGAACCGCAUGGUUCGAAAUUGAAAGGCGGCUUCGGCUGUCACUUAUGGAUGGACCCGCGUCGCAUUAUCUAGUUGGUGAGGUGACGGCUCACCAAGGCAACGAUGCGUAGCCGACCUGAGAGGGUGAUCGGCCACACUGGGACUGAGACACGGCCCAGACUCCUACGGGAGGCAGCAGUAGGGAAUCUUCCGCAAUGGACGAAAGUCUGACGGAGCAACGCCGCGUGAGUGAUGAAGGCUUUCGGGUCGUAAAACUCUGUUGUUAGGGAAGAACAAGUGCUAGUUGAAUAAGCUGGCACCUUGACGGUACCUAACCAGAAAGCCACGGCUAACUACGUGCCAGCCGCCGCAGUAA
This 515-nucleotide ribosomal RNA is filed under the name uncultured bacterium. RNAcentral's name for it is "partial 16S ribosomal RNA". It matches the Rfam family "Bacterial small subunit ribosomal RNA", at positions 28 to 523 of the family's 1533-position model. The record is from RNAcentral.